CCCAAUCGGAAUAGCUACCCACUUUUGGUACAACAAAAAAUGUAUGUAAAGGAUAUGCCAUUUCAAAAUUUGUAAAAAGAUCAGUCAAGUUACUAUUAUUUGGACUAGUGCUUCAAGUGUUUGAUUUAUUUUCUUUAUAAUGUAUAAUGUACCUGUCAAUUGUAGAGCCAAGCUGGGAACUGCCUAAAAAUCAGAUACACGGUUAGCUCAGUUUGACAGAUCUCCAUGCAAGUGUUCACAUGGUCGUGGAUUCAAGCACCAUACCAGUAGCAUCUUUUCUCACAGGUUUACUUUAGAACCCAUCAUCCAGGGGUUGACGAUUAUAAAUUUUUUAUUAAAUAUUACAGGCCAUGUUCUUUUGUAAACUUUCAGAUUGAGAAGUGCCUGGAUACAAGGCUAGUAUUGUUAACAUCAUCUGAUACAAUCAACUGGAACAAAGCUGAAAUGGCUGCCUGACCUGACUUAAAAAUCGGAUGGCAAUACAUCAGACUAGAAGAUUAUUAGUAUUGAGAUGGACAAAAUUAAACAUGAGCCUACCAAAGCUGACAGAUUGCACAAGAAACACAUAAAUGCAGAUUGGAGGAUUCAUUCUCUAGAAAAUAGAAAAGGGCAUGUUACAUACUGUUAUCAUUGCCAUGACAGAAACCAUAUUGAGGAGCUGGUCCACCUGUAGGAAGAAUUACGCUAUUGGUAGGAGCAGCACUAUUCCCCAGACAUACACCAGCACUUAGUUUGUCAUAGGGAGCAUUUCUGAGCAGUUAUGGAGACCACUAACUAUGCAGUUGUUGCAGUGAAACUUGCACCAGUGUGUUUUCUGUGGAAAUAAAGAGAUAGUGUCCAGCAAUGAAGACCCAACUCAAGACCUGACCUUGUAAGGCCAAUAUGAAAUAACUGUGUGGAAAAAUGGGAAAAACCUGCAGUCAGGAAUGCACGGAAAUCAUCAAAAGAUCAGUGUUAAAUUAAUCUUGAAUAACUUGACAUUUAUUUUGUUUGACAUAUUUAUUCAUGGUGCAGUGAAAACAUGUUUUUUUUCCUCAUGGUUAUUUAAAUUUAGAAUUGAUAGGAGGGAACAUCAUUAUGUAGUUUCAUGUUCAUAGUCAGAUCAAAACCCAUGUACAUGUAUAAAUGAGCAUUCGAAAAUAUCAAAAUGGAACUUGUUGUAUGUAGUGUAAGUUAAUUAACAUAAUAAACAAAAAUAUUUAAUAAAUUUCAAUUUAUUAUGCCCCCUUCAAAGAAGAGGAGUAUAUUGCUUUGCACAUGUUGGCUGCCACGUCCGUCUGUCUGACAGUAGACCAAAGCUUUUCCUGGUUGAUAACUCUACAAUUCCUAGACCUAUUGUCAAACUUGACAUGAAAGUUUGGUUUAACCAGUAGAUGACGCCUUUUGAUUUUAGGGGUAAUAUGGUCAAAGGUCACAGUGACCUUGAACAGGAAGGUGUCAAAGAAUG
Long non-coding RNA from Mya arenaria, 1447 nucleotides. RefSeq lists it as uncharacterized. Lineage: Eukaryota; Metazoa; Mollusca; Bivalvia; Myida; Myidae. The record is from RefSeq and is a predicted model, not a curated record. The transcript is spliced from 3 exons.